Long non-coding RNA from Neocloeon triangulifer, 3800 nucleotides. RefSeq lists it as uncharacterized. The record is from RefSeq and is a predicted model, not a curated record. The transcript has 5 exons. Lineage: Eukaryota; Metazoa; Arthropoda; Insecta; Ephemeroptera; Baetidae.
AAAUCGUCGAGAAAAUUCCUGCAUAAUUUAUUUGGCUGCAUGGCUUAAAGGGUUCAUUCUGCUCGCCACAACAAUGCUCGCAGCCCUCGCAGGUACAUUUCCUUUAAUCCUUACCGCCUCGACGUCCCCGACCCCCGAUUACUCACGAAAGAGCCAUGUGACAUCACGAUUUUACCCGAUCGUACCCGAUCGUACCCAGCGCCUCUACUGGCAAAACGCUGAACUCUGAUUUUUCGCUCUCCCAUAAGAGACAAAAUUUAACCAAGGAUGCUCUCUCUGUUUAUUCAACUCUGUGGGGAAAACUCUUAGGGCAAGAAGUCUAUGAAUACUUGGGAAUAUAAGUCAACCCUUUUGAGCUCAGAUGCGUAGAUAUAACCCGCAGUCUGUCAUCAGUUGGUCAGCGAAAUUACCGGCCUCAAAUCUCAAAUAGUUGCUUCAAAAAUAGGAGGUUCAUCAAAAGGGACUAAAGAUUUUGCUAUGAAUUCCAACAAAAUGCAAGAAAUUGAUUCCACAGCGCCUUUUAUCUUCCGUAUGGAAUCAAGGUAAAUUUAUUGUUUCCCGCUAUAAUGCCUUAAAUUGAUGUAAAAGCAUAAUGGAAAAGUUAAAGUAUAUUUAAUAAUAUACAAAAAUUGAUUGGUUAUUAAUAUUAUACCUUAAAUUUCAAGAGAUGACCAAGAAACUCUUCAUUCCGGAAUCUGCUCAUGCAAUACAUGGUGCUGCCGGUGGCAAGGUUAGUACACGUGGUCCAUAUGCUGGAAACGGCAUAGUUAUUCGACGUUACCAUGAUGCUGUCCUCAAAACUCUCCACCAACAUUCCUCUAUUAAAAAAUUACUUUUAACAAAAAUAUUUUUAAUCAACAGACACAACAGACUCAAAAGAUGCAAAGACACUGACGACAUUUUUGUGGGUGUGAAUCACACCUUUUGGUAUACCCGUACUACCACUUGUAUUGCAGAUAAACAAGACGUCCUUAUCCGGGUCAAUGUGCGUUUCAGCCACGUAUGCUUAAAAUUUUAGAUCAUUUUUUUUUUAAUUGGAUUUUUUUGAGGCGAGUCAUAUUUUUACCCAUCCCAUCGUCUAGAGCCAAUUCCGAAAAACUGACAACACCUUCAAUGGAUGUGUCACCAACAUUUAUAAUAUUGCAAUUGUCCAAUUUAGCAAUGAUGAUGGCUUGUUUGAUUGAAUCAAACGUGAGUGAAUCAACCGCUACAAAUUUGCAGUCAAUUUCUUGCAUCAGCCUUGCAAAUUCCUCUAUUAAAAAGCUGCCUCUGGUCGCUCCUCCCAAAAGCCAAACGGCCAACUGCAGGACGCUCAAGUCCACUAUAUCGUAGGACACGAAGUACAAAACGUCGCCCUUUGAGAAGCCCCUCUUGGCCAAAGCGCUCGCCACUUUCUUCGACCGCUCCUCCACUUCACCAAAUAAAACUUCCUUUCCCGUACACACAUCGAGCUUCAUAAAAAGAGAAAAUAAAAUUUUAAAAAAUGAUCUCAACAAACCUUUAAAACUUUUUCACCAGCCAAGGCUUCUCAGCAACGGCGUGCAGAUUUUUUCUCGCGCGCUUAAACAGAUAAUCUGUUAAGGAGCAAUUGGGAAUCUUGCUCGCAUCAUAUGACACAGGUGAUUUGAAAAUCUCUCCCAUCGCGAAGGAGCUGACGUGUGCACUCUCAGGUGCGCCGCUAUCAAAUAUCGAAUGUGCUCCUUCUGUGUAUGUCGCAGAUUAAUUUGAUGUAAUGAGAUGUCUUGCGUCUUAUUUUGCAGUUAAAUAAUUAACCAAGGUCACCAUGAGUUUAAUCUUUUAAGGCACUGAUAUAGGGGGUCGAAAUAUUUCUUUUAUUCUUUUAAACUUGGAAUAAUUGAAAAUUGGUAAAAUUUAAUUUUUCUUUCUGGAAUUGAUACUGAAACUAAAUAAAAAUUUCAAGGGUGUUACGUAAAAGUUUUGAUUGCAUAGCAGCUUUCUGAUAAACGGGGUGAGACCUGAGACGCUAAGAAAAUUGCAACAAAAUACAAACCACAAUUUCUUACUUGUUGCUAAGCAAGCACAAUUCAAAAAGUUUUAUUCAUUAUUUUUUUAGAGAAAGUUUGGGUGCCAUUUUUUUUCUAAAAUAAGUAGGUGUUGAAAUAUAGAAUAAUAUUUGAUAUUUAUUUGCAUAAUUUUCUAACAAUAUAAAAUAAAAAGUAAAUAAAAAUUGCGUGAAAUUCUUAACUUGGCAAGGGACAUAAAUAUGAGUACAUAUCAAUAGCUCCAUUAGCUGUGAAGGGGCACAAUGGCGUACUCGUCUGCACUUCAUACAAAUAAUCAUAUCACCUCAAAACAAUAAUAUUCUCUCUUAUCAGUUGCUGACUCAUUCCAUCACAAUAAUUUAUUAAUCACAUGACUAUUGCCAACCACCACUGAUAAAUACUAACUAAUAAGCCAACUAUUGCACUCUGGCCAGUUAUAAAACCAUCUACGCUGCGUGUUUAAUUGAUUUAAAAAAAAUCAUUUCUAUUGUUGAUCUGCUUUUUCCACUUGAUUCAUAAUACUGCUCUUACUAUUAUAGUUUGCGCUGAAUGUCCAAAAUUCUUACAAUUUUGCUCCGUAAAGUUUCAUAAUCGCCAAUCGGUCCAAUUUUCUGGUCUUGUUUUCUGGAAAUGAAUCGACAAAUUGUAGACCUCCAUGCAAAUGCUUAUAGAAUGGCAUCUUGCUGGACACAAGCGUGAGCAAUUCUUCCUCUGUUGCAGUUUUUCCUUCUUUCAAAACAACCAAACCUUUGGCCAGAUUAGUAGUUUCGUUGUUCGGCACCCCAAUCACGCAGGCCAUUUCAACAGCAGGGUGCUCUUGGAGCACUGCUUCAAUUUCUGUUGGAUUUACCUUUAAAUUUAAAAUGAAAAUUAUUCAAAAUAAUCAUUAAAAUUAAAAAAAAAAAAUCGUAUUGAUCAUAAAAGUUGGAAAAUUCAGUCGAUUUAAUGUCUAACAUAAUGCGAAUGCGACAUUAUAAAAUAAUUGAAAAACUUACAAAAUGCAUGUAAUAUUUAAAAGUGAAGGAGACUCUCUCCCUGACAAAGAGUUGGCCUAAAGCGUCAAAAAAUACUACGUCUCCUGUAUUGUACCAUCCUUCUUCAUCAAAGCAAGACACGUCUGGCUGUGUGUAUUAUUUUAUUUUUACAUAAUAUUAUAAAUUUAAAGCGUCGAUCUCAUUAAUUAUUUUUUGUAUCACCUCUUUAUCUUUUCUCAAGUAGCCUUUUGCCAUAUGCUUGCUGCGCACCCAUAGUCUCCCUACUUGAUUUCGUCCAAGUAGCUCUCCAUUUUUCAAGUCGGUGACCUUUGAAUGUAAUUUUGCUCACUUUAUAAACAGAUAUUUUUUUUUAAUUAUCUAUACCUUAGCUUCGACAAAGGGAAUUAAAACGCCUGAAGACACCAUUCUCUCACCUUGUUGCAAAAAUCAAAUAGAUACUUUCAUAAGAUUAAAUCUUUUUAUUUUACCGUCUGGCGAUGUUCCGUACAGUGGCAAUUUCAUUUUUUCACUGUUCACAGUUGCUGACAACGUCAAAGUUUCGGUGGAACCGUAUGACUAUAAAUCGAUUUAUGAUUUCAUUAUUUAAUAAUUUUCUUGUGUAAUAUUUACAAACAUUAUUGCAACACGCGCUGGGGAAUUUUUUCUCCAGCAAUUCCAACGUCGUGGGGUCCACGACGGAGCCACCAAGAUAAACGCGUUUCAGAAAACUGAAAUCGUGUUUUUCCAAUUCAUCACAUUUUGCAAGCCAGCUCAUGAUGUACGGGUAGAGAAAAAGUUUCAUCGGCUAAUAACCAUUUUUAUG